This 385-nucleotide ribosomal RNA is filed under the name uncultured bacterium. RNAcentral's name for it is "bacterial SSU rRNA". It matches the Rfam family "Bacterial small subunit ribosomal RNA", at positions 30 to 417 of the family's 1533-position model. The record is from RNAcentral.
AUUGAACGCUGGCGGAAUGCUUUACACAUGCAAGUCGAACGGCAGCACGGGGCAACCUGGUGGCGAGUGGCGAACGGGUGAGUAAUGCAUCGGAACGUGCCCUGAAGUGGGGGAUAACGUAGCGAAAGUUACGCUAAUACCGCAUAUUCUGUGAGCAGGAAAGCAGGGGAUCUUCGGACCUUGCGCUUUUGGAGCGGCCGAUGUCGGAUUAGCUAGUUGGUGGGGUAAAGGCCCACCAAGGCGACGAUCCGUAGCGGGUCUGAGAGGAUGAUCCGCCACACUGGAACUGAGACACGGUCCAGACUCCUACGGGAGGCAGCAGUGGGGAAUUUUGGACAAUGGGCGCAAGCCUGAUCCAGCCAUGCCGCGUGAGUGAAGAAGGCCU